UCAUUGGUGUUUAUAAACACCACCAAUGUGUGCAAGAAUUAAUUGU
Picea glauca (white spruce) is the source of this 46-nucleotide non-coding RNA. The record is from Rfam. NCBI's taxonomy places the organism in Eukaryota, Viridiplantae, Streptophyta, Pinopsida, Pinales, Pinaceae.